GUCUGCAGCUGAUGCCUCUGCCCCUGAACUGCCUGCUUGGCUGACAUCAUCAGAAGUGGUUAUCUCAGCCAAUUACAAUGCUUUCCCAUAGGAUUGGCUGGGACUGUCAAAAAGGCAGAUAUGGGGCAGAGUCAAACACAGUCCUGGCCAAUCAGCAUCUCCUCAUAAAGAUGAAUUGAAUCAAUGCAUAUCUAUGAGGAAAGUUCAGUGUCUGCAUGCAUCCAGAGGAUGGAGACACUGAAUGGCAGUCACACUGUGCAGCACUGCCCCAGGAAGCACCUCUAG
Pelobates cultripes (western spadefoot toad) is the source of this 285-nucleotide non-coding RNA. The record is from the annotation of a GenBank genome assembly. NCBI's taxonomy places the organism in Eukaryota, Metazoa, Chordata, Amphibia, Anura, Pelobatidae.